CGCAAAAUGUGAGUUAAUACCUCGGUAAACGACACAAAAACGACGCUAAACCGGCUUGAAUCUGACAUAUGAGGUUAAAAUAUCCCACCAGAAUGCGCCUCGUGGAACUCUGGGUGCUGUUUCCAUUGAUAAGACCCACAAUUUUUUUCUAUCGCAAAAUCACAUCCCCCCACCCAUCACAUCCCUCCCUCUUCGACUCAUCACCUCACGCCAUGACUCUUAUCUAUCCACCAGCCAUCACAGCUCUCCCCCUCCACCCUGCCGAACCCACCACCUCACGCCAUAAGCUGCGGAGUUUCCCGGGAUCGUCCUCGCGUCCUGGCGCAUUCACGAGAGGCCUCCACUCCUCGCUCGACAUCUUCGGGAACGCUGCUGCUAUUAAACCGGCUUGGAGUCGGGAUUAGCGGCGUAAGGCACUACCACGAGAGUGCAAGGUGCGUGACGUCAUUUAUGGACGGCCCCAAAGACAAUGCAAGUAUCAGAACACUUAGAGCCCGGUUCCAGCAGUUAUAUCUUUGAAACCGUUUUGCCACGAUCCAAAAUUAUGAAAAUAAGAAUGUUUUACCCUAUAUGGGUAAAAUAAACCAGGCGUUGAGAAAGGGUAAAAACCUAUUCUCAUUUAUCACCGAUAACAAUAAUAAUAUUGAUACAGUAUUUGUGUACCUCUAAAGGCCACUGUGAUAUUUGACGAAUGUGUUGAGCGUGCACCACUGUUGAGCGUGCACCACUGCACGCUCAACGCAGCAGGUAUAGUUUGUACAACAACAGUAGUAACAACAACAACAAUGUUUGUACUCCGCCACUGAACACCACGGAUUCGCACGCAGCUCUCCGUGUUCCGACACAACGAGAAGAAGUUCCACUUCUUCCUCUUCUUCCUCCU
Petromyzon marinus (sea lamprey) is the source of this 883-nucleotide non-coding RNA. The record is from RefSeq and is a predicted model, not a curated record. NCBI's taxonomy places the organism in Eukaryota, Metazoa, Chordata, Hyperoartia, Petromyzontiformes, Petromyzontidae.